CCUAGCAUUUAGUUAUGACUAUCACACCUUUAUGGUGCUUAAAGGUCUGAUUUUUUUUUUACUUAGCUGUUUUUUUCCAUGUUGUUUGACAAAGUCGAAACUUUUAUUGUGGUAUCCACGGGUAUUCAUAUUAGUAUUAAUAUAUUUCAAAACGUUAUCUCACAGACAUUCGCCACUUCGCCAGUCAAAAUUAUGAACAACAAAUGAGCUACAUUGAUUGGUUCAAUGGUUGUUGUGAUAUAAAUAAAUAAAUGGCCUAUAAUAGUAUUGAUCUUAUAAUAUGAACAUACCACAUACGAGGACUUGGAUGGCACCGGGUCUUAUCCGAACUCACUAGAUAUGUUUAAUUUCUUCCUUAUUAUUAUUAUGUUUUUUUUUGGCUUAACAUUUUUAAUACCUACAUGUUUUGUAUUUAUUAUAGGA
Long non-coding RNA from Aphis gossypii (cotton aphid), 423 nucleotides. RefSeq lists it as uncharacterized. The record is from RefSeq and is a predicted model, not a curated record. NCBI's taxonomy places the organism in Eukaryota, Metazoa, Arthropoda, Insecta, Hemiptera, Aphididae. The transcript is spliced from 2 exons.